Molecule: long non-coding RNA, 372 nt
Filed under: Cyanistes caeruleus (blue tit)
Lineage: Eukaryota; Metazoa; Chordata; Aves; Passeriformes; Paridae
Description: lncRNA (ENSCCEG00000002021.1)
Source: RNAcentral
GUGCUCAAGGCAGAUGGACAUCCUUCCUGUCUGAAUGGUGACGGGCUUUCUCCAGGCUGGUGAGAAUGUUGUUCCACAGGACCAUCCAGUCAAGGAGGACACGCGAAGGGACCUUCCACCAUUCUCUUCUAAGACAAAGCUUAGCAAUAACAAGGAGUAAGACAGGUGAUACAGAAGAAAUUCACCUCAUCAUUAGUAGUUGUCCUUCUGGCUCUAAAAGGAGCCUUCACUGCCUUGGGAACUGUUUGGCUAUGCUGCACCUUACAAGUACUUAGGACUUUAUCCUUCUAACACUUGGUGUACAGUAUGCAAUUGUUCAGAAGAGUAAAAUUAGGAUGUUGAAAAUAAAUGCACUAUGAAAGAAAAAUUACA